GUGCUUCGAUACUAAGGAUCUCCCAUUCAUCCACUAUGUAUUGUGCAGUCUUUUCAUGUUUAUCAACAAGUAACCCAUUAGUUAACUCAACUUCCGAGUCGCUAAAAUCAUUUGCCAAUGGAUUUUCCUGAACAAGUUGUUGUCUGUUAUUAUCUGCAGCAUUUGAGCUAUGUAUAGAAGUCAUAUCUUCUAUAUUGAAAUAUGAAUCCAAGUGUCGAAGUAAAUUUCGAUCAUGUUGUCAUUUGGGAUGUUUUUGCGAACAACAUGGGCUUCAUUAUCUGUAGACACCAACCUCUAUCUAUUACCAGAUCUUCCACAUCUAUGCCAAAAAGUUAUUGAAUUCUUUAAGUAUCCACAAAUCUCUGCCAUCUUGUUAAACUCAUCAAGUUCCAAUUUGUU
RNAcentral lists this long non-coding RNA (399 nucleotides) under Solanum tuberosum (potato). RNAcentral describes it as "long non-coding RNA (STUB_LNC004431)". The record is from RNAcentral. Lineage: Eukaryota; Viridiplantae; Streptophyta; Magnoliopsida; Solanales; Solanaceae.